UACGGAGGGUGCAAGCGUUAUCCGGAUUCACUGGGUUUAAAGGGUGCGUAGGUGGGCAGGUAAGUCAGUGGUGAAAUCUCCGAGCCUAACUCGGAAACUGCCAUUGAUACUAUCUGUCUUGAAUUAUCUGGAGGUGAGCGGAAUAUGUCAUGUAGCGGUGAGAUGCUUAGAUAUGACAUAGAACACCAAUUGCGAAGGCAGCUCACUACGGAUAUAUUGACACUGAGGCACGAAAGCGUGGGGAUCAAACAGG
This 253-nucleotide ribosomal RNA is filed under the name uncultured bacterium. RNAcentral's name for it is "partial 16S ribosomal RNA". It matches the Rfam family "Bacterial small subunit ribosomal RNA", at positions 524 to 776 of the family's 1533-position model. The record is from RNAcentral.